Molecule: ribosomal RNA, 253 nt
Filed under: uncultured prokaryote
Description: partial 16S ribosomal RNA
Rfam family: Bacterial small subunit ribosomal RNA
Source: RNAcentral
ACAGAGGGGGCAAGCGUUAUUCGGAAUUAUUGGGCGUAAAGGGCGCGUAGGCGGCCAACUAAGUCAGACGUGAAAUCCCUCGGCUUAACCGGGGAACUGCGUCUGAUACUGGAUGGCUUGAGAUUGGGAGAGGGAUGCGGAAUUCCAGGUGUAGCGGUGAGAUGCGUAGAUAUCUGGAGGAACACCGGUGGCGAAGGCGGGUCUCUGGGCAAUUCCUGACGCUGAGGCGCGAGAGCGUGGGGAGCAAACAGGA